Molecule: long non-coding RNA, 1545 nt
Filed under: Homo sapiens (human)
Lineage: Eukaryota; Metazoa; Chordata; Mammalia; Primates; Hominidae
Description: HSALNT0383406
Source: RNAcentral
GCGCAGAGCUGCACAGGGCAGGGCUAGGAGGACAUUUCCAGGGCAGGCUCCCUGCCUUGCCUCUUGCAGGGGAAAUCUAAGAUGGUCAAAGGAAAGGAAUCCAACGGUUUUGCCCAGGCUUGUUUAGCAAAGCUCUUGCAGCUGGAGCUGUUUAUUAUUGCAGCUAGGAAGAUGCUCUUCCAAACACACUUCCCAAGCUGAGAGAGCUGAAAUAAUCUAUCCUAUUUCUUCAGAGCCUGCAGGGUCUGUGCCUCAGAAAGGGGUUUCUGUUAAAAGAGGAACAUUCUUGAGCAUGGUUAUUCUUCCCCAGCUCCUCAAGAAGAGGCAUCCCCCAGAUUUAGUUUGCAGAUAUCUUUCCCAACUCUUACCUCCCAUGCGCACUUUCGAUAAAACAGCUUGGAUACCGCUUCUUGGAAUGAUGAUACUGAUGUUGCAUCUUCCUUCACCAGCUUUGAGCUUUGGAGAUCGCAGCAGAGGUAGUUACUGGAAGACAAUCUCAGGCCCACAUUGAUCAUGGAAGUCUAGCUUUUAAAGAUAAGUGAGCCAACCAAGCUGUAAGGCUAAUCACCCUGUGCAAGUAUGAAUUUAUCUAAAGAGGAUUUCAUGUGGAACCCCCGGAGCCGGCCGCCAAACGGAUGACUGCACACUUUAAGAAAGUUCGUGGGACUUCUCCCAAUCAACUGUCAGGCCACAUAAAGGGUCUGGAACGCGCUGACUUAAGCAAAUAAUAUUUAGCCAUCUAAGGAUACCGUAAGGCCCAAGAUUUUGCUUUGUUGGCGCUGACAGGAAAUAUUGAUACAUAUCAAGUAACACUCCUGAUGCAAAAAGCGAUAUGUGUCUCCUUUCGGCACUAUCUCUGUUUAGGAAACACCUUGCUUUAAAAGAAAGCACAGGUGGGGGCAGGGACAAUGUCAAACCCAGCACUUCACUGGGUUUUCCAGCUUUCCUGGGAUCACAAUUUCAUGAAAAUAGGAACUAAGCAAAAGUCGUCUCCUUUUUGAAAAAAACCAAAUGUAUUGGAAUUUGAAUUUGCAAACUCUCAGAAUGUCUAGCUGACAAGUGAACCCUGCCCAUAACCCCAAAACUAUUCCUUAAGUUUAUUAACCUAGGAAACCUGCCACUGAUUAGGUUUGGGUGUGUUUCUCAGCUUUUACAAUAGUCUAAACUAUAUUACAACUAUGUGGUUACAGGGCCUAAAAAGUAAAUUGAAAUAUGUGGCUAUUAAGUCGCAAAUCCCCUCAAUAGGACAUGUGAGUCAAAACUCAAUUUUUUGUGAGAAGUAAUGUCUGUAAUCCUAUUGACUCAUCAUUUUUAGACAUUUGUGGCUUUAAUUACAGGGGAAAAACUGUAAUGUCCUGUCUUGGGAAAAUUUGAUAGGGAACAUCGGGCUGUUACCAUAGAAUAAAGGUUGCGUUGGAGGAUUUAAUUUAAAAAGGAAAAAGAAAGAACCCUAUUUUAUCAGAAUACUCUAAACAUUCUCCAUCAGUAACGUUGUGCCUGAGGUGAUAUCCUUGAAGAUGCUGGAGGUGGCGGUGUUAAUGAAAU